UUAUGGCCAUAUCAUAUUGAAACACUGGUUCUUGUACAAUCACCAAAGUUAAGCAACAUUGGAACUGAUCAGUACUUAGAUGGGUGACUACUUGGGAAUACCAGGUACUGUAAG
Molecule: ribosomal RNA, 114 nt
Filed under: Acanthosepion pharaonis
Lineage: Eukaryota; Metazoa; Mollusca; Cephalopoda; Sepiida; Sepiidae
Source: RNAcentral